UUAGACACCUCAACUAAGACUUGUACCUAUUGAUUUGGUCAUUUUUGAGUGUUUAAGU
Molecule: microRNA precursor, 58 nt
Filed under: Solanum tuberosum (potato)
Lineage: Eukaryota; Viridiplantae; Streptophyta; Magnoliopsida; Solanales; Solanaceae
Description: miR8031 stem-loop (stu-MIR8031)
Source: miRBase by way of RNAcentral